UACAGAGGGUGCGAGCGUUGUUCGGAUUCAUUGGGCGUAAAGGGUGCGUAGGCGGCGCGGUAAGUCGGGUGUGAAAUCUCGGGGCUUAACUCCGAAACUGCAUUCGAUACUGCCGUGCUUGAGGACUGGAGAGGAGACUGGAAUUUACGGUGUAGCGGUGAAAUGCGUAGAUAUCGUAAGGAAGACCAGUGGCGAAGGCGGGUCUCUGGGCAUUACCUGACGCUGAGGAGCGAAAGUGUGGGGAGCGAACAGG
RNAcentral lists this ribosomal RNA (253 nucleotides) under uncultured bacterium. RNAcentral's name for it is "partial 16S ribosomal RNA". It matches the Rfam family "Bacterial small subunit ribosomal RNA", at positions 524 to 776 of the family's 1533-position model. The record is from RNAcentral.